Molecule: ribosomal RNA, 460 nt
Filed under: uncultured bacterium
Lineage: Bacteria
Description: partial 16S ribosomal RNA
Rfam family: Bacterial small subunit ribosomal RNA
Source: RNAcentral
CCUACGGGAGGCAGCAGUGAGGAAUAUUGGUCAAUGGGCGCAAGCCUGAACCAGCCAAGUCGCGUGAGGGAUGACGGUCCUAUGGAUUGUAAACCUCUUUUGUCGGGGAGCAAGGCCCGCCACGUGUGGCGGGAAGGAGAGUACCCGAAGAAAAAGCAUCGGCUAACCCCGUGCCAGCAGCGGCGGUAAUACGGGGGAUGCGAGCUUUAUCGGGAUUUAUUGGGUUAAAGGGGUGCGUAGGCGGAAGGUUAAGUCAGCGGUCAAAUGUCGGUGCUCAACACCGGCCUGCCGUUGAAACUGGUCGUCUUGAGUGAGCGAGAAGUAUGCGGAAUGCGUGGUGUAGCGGUGAAAUGCAUAGAUAUCACGCAGAACUCCGAUUGCGAAGGCAGCAUACCGGCGCUCAACUGACGCUGAGGCACGAAAGCGUGGGGAUCGAACAGGAUUAGAUACCCUAGUAGUC